Long non-coding RNA from Diorhabda carinulata, 522 nucleotides. RefSeq lists it as uncharacterized. Lineage: Eukaryota; Metazoa; Arthropoda; Insecta; Coleoptera; Chrysomelidae. The record is from RefSeq and is a predicted model, not a curated record. The transcript has 3 exons.
CAUUUUAGUUGUAAUAGAAACAAUCAUUUUAACUGAGUGAACUUUUUUUGACAUUCCAAACGUCAUCUUUUUUCUCGAUCUCUAAAAAUUACAGUUAAUUAUACUUUUCCGUUAUUUAAACCAUAAUUUUGCAAUUCACAGUUUUCUUACCGAUGCGCAGAAUUCAUUUUCUCUUAAAGUCAAAUCAAUACUAACCCGUGUGAACACAAAUAACCUCUAGAAAGGAAGACAACUAUUAAACCUAUUACAGUAAGAACGUUUGAUCGAGCUGUCGCAUUCAGAAAUUUAACCGGAAGAAGAAAGAAUAUUAAUAACAAUGCCUGAUCCGUGCCAAGGUUGUGACAAAAAUAAAAAAAAAGAUUGCUGUCAGACUUCAUGUAAUUGUACCACGGAUUGCAAAUGUGGUAAAGAUUGUCCAUGUGAAAAAGGUGGCUCCAAAUCAAACGAAAAGAAAUAACUGGUUAUUCAUUAAGCACUUUACAAAUGUAACUUUAACUUAAAUAAAGAGUGGACUCAAAAGUA